This 284-nucleotide ribosomal RNA is filed under the name Vibrio parahaemolyticus. Its description in RNAcentral is "partial 16S ribosomal RNA". It matches the Rfam family "Bacterial small subunit ribosomal RNA", at positions 1102 to 1385 of the family's 1533-position model. The record is from RNAcentral. Lineage: Bacteria; Pseudomonadati; Pseudomonadota; Gammaproteobacteria; Vibrionales; Vibrionaceae.
CCCUUAUCCUUGUUUGCCAGCGAGUAAUGUCGGGAACUCCAGGGAGACUGCCGGUGAUAAACCGGAGGAAGGUGGGGACGACGUCAAGUCAUCAUGGCCCUUACGAGUAGGGCUACACACGUGCUACAAUGGCGCAUACAGAGGGCGGCCAACUUGCGAAAGUGAGCGAAUCCCAAAAAGUGCGUCGUAGUCCGGAUUGGAGUCUGCAACUCGACUCCAUGAAGUCGGAAUCGCUAGUAAUCGUGGAUCAGAAUGCCACGGUGAAUACGUUCCCGGGCCUUGUA